This 484-nucleotide ribosomal RNA is filed under the name uncultured bacterium. RNAcentral's name for it is "partial 16S ribosomal RNA". It matches the Rfam family "Bacterial small subunit ribosomal RNA", at positions 28 to 523 of the family's 1533-position model. The record is from RNAcentral.
GAUGAACGCUGGCGGCGUGCUUAACACAUGCAAGUCGAACGAGAGAAGAUCGGUGCUUGCACUGAUCCGAUCGAGUGGCGGACGGGUGAGUAACGCGUGGGUAACCUGCCUCAUACAGGGGAAUAACAGUCGGAAACGGCUGCUAAAACCGCAUAAGCGCACAGUAUCGCAUGAUACAGUGUGAAAAACUCCGGUGGUAUGAGAUGGACCCGCGUCUGAUUAGCUAGUUGGUGAGGUAACGGCCCACCAAGGCAACGAUCAGUAGCCGGCCUGAGAGGGUGAACGGCCACAUUGGGACUGAGACACGGCCCAAACUCCUACGGGAGGCAGCAGUGGGGAAUAUUGCACAAUGGGGGAAACCCUGUUGCAGCGACGCCGCGUGAGUGAUGAAGUAUUUCGGUAUGUAAAGCUCUAUCAGCAGGGAAGAUAAUGACGGUACCUGACUAAGAAGCACCGGCUAAACACGUGCCAGCAGCCGCAGUAA